Molecule: ribosomal RNA, 103 nt
Filed under: Pteropus alecto (black flying fox)
Lineage: Eukaryota; Metazoa; Chordata; Mammalia; Chiroptera; Pteropodidae
Source: RNAcentral
GCAUAUGGCCAUGCCACCCUGAACAUGCCUGAAGCUGUCUGAUCUUGGAAGCUAAGCAGGGUUGGGCCUGGUUAGCACUUGGACCGCCUAGGUGCUGUAGGCU